ACAAGCACCCACUCACCCAGAACAAACCCAUAGCCUUUCCUUCCUUCAUCACUGACGCCAUCAUAGAGUCCACCACUGCUGCGCCUUCAUUGCCAGAAUCAUCGCAACCAGUCAGUGGGUCUUUUACUUUCUUGGAUACUUUUUAUUUGUGGUGAAAAUUGUGGGUUUUUUUUUUUUUUAAGUUUCGAUUUAAAGUAGAAAAUUCAAUCGGUUUUUGGAAUCGUUGGUGGGUUUAUUAGUAAUUAUUAUUUAUUUAUCUUUUAUGACUAGUUGGCUUUUUCAUUUUGUUAAUGGUAUUUCUCUUCUUGAUUUGAAGAAAUAGAUUUUUAGUUAAUAAGUGAGAUCUAAUUACAAAGAAUGAGAAAGAAUAAUUUACUUGUUUGUUUGUUUGAUUAGAUUAUUAGUAAACUUGAGUGACGGCAGUUAUAUGAUCAGGUGAUUUCGUGUACUUCAAAGGUUUAAAUUGAAUCGAAGUGGGAGUAGAGAGUAUGCUAUAUAGUAAGGAAUACAUAUUGUAGAUAGGGAUGGCAAUUGUACCCGCAAACCCGCCCAAACCCACCCGCCAAAACCCGCCUGUUGUGGGUAAUUUUACCCGUUGCGGGCGGGUUUAGUAUUAUAAAUUAAAACCCGCAUAUAGAUGCGGGUGGGUUUGGUAUUAACCUUAUAUCCGGUGGAUACCCGCAUGGAUAUCCACCAAACCCACAAUAUUUUUUCCAAAUAUUUUUAAUUUAAUUUUAAUCUAAACAUGUAUAAAGAAAAUAAUAUCAUUAAUCAAAUUACCAAAUAGCCAAAGGUUCAAAGUUGUGUAUGUGUAUGUGUAUAUGUGGCCCAUCUCCUAUUCUAAAGUCAUAAACUAAAGAAAACUAAAGGUAUUUCCCUUCGAAUUAGUAUUUGAAAAUAUUAAUCUUAAUUAUUAUUAUAGGCAUUGUGUUGGAUGGGUGCUUAUGGUGGUGAAUGAAAUGAAUAUCUCUCUUGGAGUUUGUUUUAAAUGAUAAUAUGAAAUGUAAUUAUUAUUUUUAGGUACUAGUUUGUGUUUUUUAAAUAGAUUUGUGUAAUUUAUACUUAAAUUUGAGAAUUUGUGUUGAAUUGAUGUGGAAAUUUUAAUUUUUCAUUUACAUUGUUUAAAUAUAAAAUUGAGUAUGUUAUAUGGAAUUUGAGGUUAUUAUUAUAAAUUUAUGGGAAAAGGACAUUCAACCCCCCAACGUUUAGGAAAAAGAACAAAAAACCCCUCAACGUUUCAAAAAGGACUUAUAACCUCAUUUCCGUUAACAAACACCGUUUGUUUUAACAGUAAAUUUAUUUUUAAUUUUUAAUUACUAUUAUACCCUUAUAAUAAAAAAAUUAAUAUAUUGAUUUGAGACAUCAAAACUAUAAAUAUUCAUAUCCAAAAUUAUUUACUAUAAAUUAUACCUUUCAUAUGUGAUUAUUACUAAUAAAACGAAAUUUGAUUAAACCCUUUUUCUUUGAGGAAUCAAAACCAUAAUAAUAUGGUUUUGAUUCCUCAAAGAAAAAGGGUUUAAUCAAAUUUCAUUUUAUUAAUAAUAAUCACAUAUGAAAGGUUUGAUCAUUAAAAAGGUAUAAUUUAUAGCAAAUAAUUUGGGCAAAAAUGUAAUUGUAUCUCAAUUUUUAGUUUAAAAAAAAAUUAUUAAUUGUGACAUGUCUCAAAUCAAUAUAUUAAUUUAUAUUUAUUAUAAGGGUAUAAUAGUAAUUAAAAAUUAAAAAUAAAUUUAUUGUUAAAACAAACGGUGUUUAUUAACGGAAAGGGGGUUAUAAGUCCUUUUUGAAACGUUGAGGGGUUUUUUGUCCCUUUUCCUAAACGUUGGGGGGUUGAAUGUCCUUUUCCCUAAAUUUAUAUAUUAAACAUUUGUGAUUUUAAAUACGGAAACCCGCAAAAAAUCCGCCGGAUACCAUUGCGGGUUUGGUAAUUGUUAAAACCCGCUGCGGGUGGGUUGUUUUAAAAAAAUUAAAACCCGUUGCGGGUUGUGGGUGGGUUUGGUAAUUUAAAUUUCGUGCGGGUUUGAGUUUGGUAAUGGCAAACCCGCUGCGGACGGUGCCCAUUGCCAUCCCUAAUUGUAGAGCAAGGAUCAAAAUUACUAGCUUAGUGAAUUGAAAUUACUUAAGGUCUACUUCUUCAAUCAUUUUAUUUUGGCUCUAAAAUGAAUUAUUAUCUUGAAUAUUUUGGUAGUUAAUUUUUUUAAUAAAGAAGAAAUAACUUUUUUCAAGUGUUUAAGAAUGUAAUUUUUAGGCACCAAUCCUUUGGUGCUAUAAUUCCCCAUUUCUGAACAUUAUAUUUCUAUGAUUAAUUAUUAAUUUGUGGGUUAUAUAGUGACUUUGGUGGUACUUUUGACAAAUAAUUUGAUGUGGUUUAACAGGAUGGAUGUGGUAGUAUGGAAAUGGAGCAACCUUGCACUCAAGCUAUUAUGUUUUUUCUAGAAGAAAAAACAACAAAAAAUUGAUGGAAUGAGAUGAACGUUGAGGGUAGAAUGAGAUGAAUAUUGAAGUUAUCAAAAUAUCAUAGGAAAAAGAGGGAUAGGAAAGCUGUUUGGUUGGAAUUGCAUUUUAUUUUUUAUUUUUUUUAAGACACCACAUGUUUAACUAUUUAUCUGUAUGUUUAACUAUUUAUUUAUAUUGAGAUAUUUAUUAAAGCUUUUUUUAUUUUAUUUGGCUGGAGCUUUAUUUUAGAUGAUACACAUUUGAGAAAUGUAGAGAAAACAAAUGUUAUAUUGUUUAAAAGUAUAGAAUUUAGU
Molecule: long non-coding RNA, 2747 nt
Filed under: Citrus maxima (pomelo)
Lineage: Eukaryota; Viridiplantae; Streptophyta; Magnoliopsida; Sapindales; Rutaceae
Description: long non-coding RNA (CMAX_LNC002220)
Source: RNAcentral